GCCGGCGCGUGGGGGUGCAGGGGUCCCGACUGCGCGCAGGACGUCGCCCGGCCGAGCGCCUGCCAGGGCGAUUCGGAGUGGCGGAGACAGAAAGCCCGUUUUAUCACACCCUCUUUUAAAGAAGAUCGAUUCUUCUAAAGCUUAUGCAAAAAAAAAAAAAAGAAGAAGAAGAAAA
Sus scrofa (pig) is the source of this 175-nucleotide long non-coding RNA. RefSeq lists it as uncharacterized. NCBI's taxonomy places the organism in Eukaryota, Metazoa, Chordata, Mammalia, Artiodactyla, Suidae. The record is from RefSeq and is a predicted model, not a curated record.